AUUGAACGCUGGCGGCAGGCCUAACACAUGCAAGUCGAGCGAACCUAGCUUGCUAGGUGAGCGGCGAACGGGUGAGUAACGCGUAGGAAUCUGCCUGGUAGUGGGGGACAACGUUCCGAAAGGAACGCUAAUACCGCAUACGCCCUACGGGGGAAAGCAGGGGAUCUUCGGACCUUGCGCUAUCAGAUGAGCCUGCGUCGGAUUAGCUAGUUGGUGGGGUAAAGGCCUACCAAGGCGACGAUCCGUAACUGGUCUGAGAGGAUGAUCAGUCACACCGGAACUGAGACACGGUCCGGACUCCUACGGGAGGCAGCAGUGGGGAAUAUUGGACAAUGGGGGCAACCCUGAUCCAGCCAUGCCGCGUGUGUGAAGAAGGCCUUCGGGUUGUAAAGCACUUUAGGUCGGGAGGAAGGUUCGCUGGCUAAUAUCCAGCGGAAUUGACGUUACCGACAGAAUAAGCACCGGCUAACUCCGUGCCAGCAGCCGCGGUAAUACGGAGGGUGCGAGCGUUAAUCGGAAUUACUGGGCGUAAAGCGCGCGUAGGCGGCUUGAUAAAUCGGGUGUGAAAUCCCUGGGCUUAACCUGGGAACUGCAUCCGACACUGUCAGGCUAGAGUGUGGGAGAGGGUGACGGAAUUCCCGGUGUAGCGGUGAAAUGCGUAGAUAUCGGGAGGAACAUCAGUGGCGAAGGCGGUUGCCUGGCCCAACACUGACGCUGAGGUGCGAAAGCGUGGGUAGCAAACAGGAUUAGAUACCCUGGUAGUCCACGCCGUAAACGAUGUCGACUAGCCGUUGGGAACCUUAGAGUUUCUUGUGGCGCAGCUAACGCGAUAAGUCGACCGCCUGGGGAGUACGGCCGCAAGGUUAAAACUCAAAUGAAUUGACGGGGGCCCGCACAAGCGGUGGAGCAUGUGGUUUAAUUCGAUGCAACGCGAAGAACCUUACCACCCCUUGACAUCCUGCGAACUUUCUAGAGAUAGAUUGGUGCCUUCGGGAGCGCAGAGACAGGUGCUGCAUGGCUGUCGUCAGCUCGUGUUGUGAAAUGUUGGGUUAAGUCCCGUAACGAGCGCAACCCUUGUCCUUAGUUGCCAGCGAGUAAUGUCGGGAACUCUAAGGAGACUGCCGGUGACAAACCGGAGGAAGGUGGGGACGACGUCAAGUCAUCAUGGCCCUUACGGGGUGGGCUACACACGUGCUACAAUGGCCGGUACAGACGGUUGCAAACCCGCGAGGGGGAGCCAAUCCGAGAAAACCGGUCGUAGUCCGGAUUGCAGUCUGCAACUCGACUGCAUGAAGUCGGAAUCGCUAGUAAUCGCGGAUCAGAAUGCCGCGGUGAAUACGUUCCCGGGCCUUGUACACACCGCC
RNAcentral lists this ribosomal RNA (1364 nucleotides) under uncultured bacterium. Its description in RNAcentral is "bacterial SSU rRNA". It matches the Rfam family "Bacterial small subunit ribosomal RNA", at positions 28 to 1394 of the family's 1533-position model. The record is from RNAcentral.